AUGGUUCUGGUUAGAAAAAUAAAGAAUGUGAAUUUCUUGGCUCAAACGCAGGUACUAACAGCAAAGGGUACCUUGUCACCUUUGGAGGACUCUGUGCCCUUCAAAGUGAAUUUAGAGGUUCUACGCAC
Molecule: non-coding RNA, 128 nt
Organism: Erinaceus europaeus (western European hedgehog)
Lineage: Eukaryota; Metazoa; Chordata; Mammalia; Eulipotyphla; Erinaceidae
Source: Rfam